RNAcentral lists this ribosomal RNA (373 nucleotides) under uncultured eukaryote. RNAcentral's name for it is "partial 18S ribosomal RNA". It matches the Rfam family "Eukaryotic small subunit ribosomal RNA", at positions 592 to 976 of the family's 1831-position model. The record is from RNAcentral.
CAAUAGCGUAUAUUAAAGUUGUUGCAGUUAAAAAGCUCGUCGUUGAAUUUUUGCUUGCCGCCGAUGUCGGAACUUCCGUACGUUCGGCGGCGUGCAUCCUUGGGUGGAACCUGUGUGGCAUUAGGUUGUCGUGCAGGGGAUGCUCAUCGUUUACUGUGAAAAAAUUAGAGUGUUCAAAGCAGGCUUACGCCGUUGAAUAUAUUAGCAUGGAAUAAUAAGAUAGGACCUUGGUACUAUUUUGUUGGUUUGCGCACCGAGGUAAUGAUUAACAGGGACAGUUGGGGGUAUUCGUAUUCCAUUGUCAGAGGUGAAAUUCUUGGAUUUCUGGAAGACGAACUACUGCGAAAGCAUUUACCAAGGAUGUUUUCAUUAA